This 84-nucleotide microRNA precursor is filed under the name Callithrix jacchus (white-tufted-ear marmoset). RNAcentral describes it as "microRNA cja-mir-9959 precursor". Lineage: Eukaryota; Metazoa; Chordata; Mammalia; Primates; Cebidae. The record is from miRBase by way of RNAcentral.
CUCCACAGCUCCUUCAGGUAAGCUCUGUGCCACUGUUCUUCCCUGCAUAACGGUGGUAAGGGGCCUACCUGGGUGAUCUGGGGG